Long non-coding RNA from Populus euphratica (Euphrates poplar), 245 nucleotides. RefSeq lists it as uncharacterized. Lineage: Eukaryota; Viridiplantae; Streptophyta; Magnoliopsida; Malpighiales; Salicaceae. The transcript is spliced from 3 exons. The record is from RefSeq and is a predicted model, not a curated record.
GGAGAAAGCAGAGCACAUGAACAGAAGAGGAAAGUAGAGGAGAGUAGAGAGUAAGUAAAAAAACAACAAAAUAGAAACACAAGAACAGAGAGGAAGAGACUGAGAGGAGGAGGAAGAAAGAAUACUCUAGGAGUGCUUGAACUGUUGUUGUCACCUGCGCCUUCGAAUUGCCAAGUAAGGCUUUCCUGUUAUCUUCAUUUCUGCGCGUUUUAAUUUAAGAGAAGAAAACAAGAUGAAGGUAAUUU